RNAcentral lists this unclassified non-coding RNA (403 nucleotides) under fungal sp. Its description in RNAcentral is "partial internal transcribed spacer region". The stretch from base 1 to 46 matches the Rfam family "Eukaryotic small subunit ribosomal RNA", at positions 1786 to 1831 of the family's 1831-position model. Lineage: Eukaryota; Fungi. The record is from RNAcentral.
AAGUCGUAACAAGGUUUCCGUAGGUGAACCUGCGGAAGGAUCAUUAACACGUAUCCACGUAUCAACCCCUUUGUGCUUUUUACGUUUUGACGUUCCUGUCUUGAAGUGUAAGUUCUGAAGUUGCGCGAGAAUCGAAUGGUGUUUGAGUCAAAUCAAACAUUCUCGUGUGAUUGUUGCAUUGUCUGUCUCUCCCUUCGGGGUGAGAAAUUCGUUGCACAGGAUUUGCAUUUCUACUGUACAGGUCUAACCAAUGUUAGCCAUUCUAACAUGCCCUUUUAUUAAACUAAACCCUUUGUAAACAUCUUGCUAACUUAAUUUGAGCUUCUGCGACAACGCAAGUUGAAGUGGAGAUUCAAUAUUACGAAAUGCUUGACAACUCUUAGCAACGGAUAUCUUGGUUCUC